GGCUCGGUAGUUUAGUUGGUAAAGCGCUCGUCUAGCAUACAAGAAUCCUGGGUUCAAAUGCCAGCCGAGCAC
Molecule: non-coding RNA, 72 nt
Organism: Aedes aegypti (yellow fever mosquito)
Lineage: Eukaryota; Metazoa; Arthropoda; Insecta; Diptera; Culicidae
Source: Rfam